This 605-nucleotide ribosomal RNA is filed under the name uncultured bacterium. Its description in RNAcentral is "bacterial SSU rRNA". It matches the Rfam family "Bacterial small subunit ribosomal RNA", at positions 41 to 689 of the family's 1533-position model. The record is from RNAcentral.
GGCAGGCUUAACACAUGCAAGUCGAGCGGGCACUUUCGGGUGUCAGCGGCGGACGGGUGAGUAACGCGUGGGAACGUGCCCUCUGGUUCGGAAUAACUCAGGGAAACUUGAGCUAAUACCGGAUACGCCCUUUUUGGGGAAGGGCUUGCUGCCGGAGGAUCGGCCCGCGUCUGAUUAGCUAGUUGGUGGGGUAACGGCCUACCAAGGCGACGAUCAGUAGCUAGUCUGAGAGGAUGAUCAGCCACACUGGGACUGAGACACGGCCCAGACUCCUACGGGAGGCAGCAGUGGGGAAUAUUGGACAAUGGGGGCAACCCUGAUCCAGCCAUGCCGCGUGAGUGAUGAAGGCCUUAGGGUUGUAAAGCUCUUUUAUCCGGGACGAUAAUGACGGUACCGGAGGAAUAAGCCCCGGCUAACUUCGUGCCAGCAGCCGCGGUAAUACGAAGGGGGCUAGCGUUGCUCGGAAUCACUGGGCGUAAAGGGCGCGUAGGCGGCGUUUUAAGUUGGGGGUGAAAACCUGUGGCUCAACCACAGAAUUGCCUUCGAUACUGGGACGCUUGAGUGUGGUAGAGGUUGGUGGAACUGCGAGUGUAGAGGUGAAAUUC